Molecule: long non-coding RNA, 632 nt
Filed under: Monodelphis domestica (gray short-tailed opossum)
Lineage: Eukaryota; Metazoa; Chordata; Mammalia; Didelphimorphia; Didelphidae
Description: lncRNA (ENSMODG00000048413.1)
Source: RNAcentral
AUCCCAGCCUUCAAGGAUCUUACAUUCCUACUGGGGAGACAACAUAUAUAUAUAUAUAUAUAUAUAUAUAUAUUAGUGAUAGGAACAGACCUAUAAUUUCAUUGGUAUCGCCUAUACCAAACAGGGGUCCCCAAACUUUUUAAACAGGGGGCCAGUUCACUGUCCCUCAGACCAUUGGAGGGCCAGACUAUAAAAACCUAACCUAACCAGGCAGCAAUAUACACAGUGUGGAAUCCCCUCCCCCAGAUCACUGCUCACCAUGCUGAUGUCUUCCAUUGUGCCGCCACAUAAUCUUUUGCACUGGCGCCUCGUUCUAAGGAUCCACGCAAAGGAUUAUGUCACCGGAAGUAGUACUGUACAGGAGCAACACAGUGCUUUGCGGAGCAGCCACCUACAGUGCUCCUCUCAUGGACCACCAGUGAAAGAGUCAAAAAUAUGUCUCAAAGAAAUUUCCCUGCCAACUGCCAGUAUGGAUUUCCUCAGGUGCUAUGGAUACUAAUAGAGUCAGAGGUGGUAGUAGGAGAUCUCCAGAGGAUGAAAAACUUUCAUAAGCUUAUAGACUAGUAAGUAAACUCAUCUGAACUUUUUUUUUGGGUCUCAUUCAUAUAUCCUGUUUAUUGGGUACAAAAGAU